ACUGCUGCCACGUGCUGAGGGGAACUCGGUUGGAGCAAAACCGUCCCGUGCAUUACUGUCCCUCAAUUUGGAGUUCGAGGAGCAACUGGAGCUUGAGAAAGGCAGACUGAGGAACUGACUGCAAUUCUGGAGUAAGAACAAGGACCCACUCGGUUCCUCUGUGAACCUCCUUUUGUCCUGUUGGACGAACACCGUUACCUCUGCAGAGGUUGGCAUCUGGACAGAGCCUCUCCUCCACCAGAGGUCCUGGACAUUGGCUCUCCUCUUCCUCUUUAGAGACCGGGAGACCCGAAUCCAGGUCCAAACAGGCCCGGAAACGCCUCUGGGUUGAGACCAUCCUACUGCUACUGAUGACUACUGCUUGGGAGUUGCUGUGUUGCAGGGAGGACGAGGGUACACAGGGAGAACAGGGAGUCCACUCUGACCACUCGCUGAGGAUGACUGAAAGAAGGAAAGGAAAGGCAGGAUGAUGGCAUCAUUCAACCAGCAGCUCCAUGCAUUACUGUCAUUGAGCUGCUGCUUUCUUACCUUCACACUCUCUCAUGUCACACUGCAGAGUUCCAUCAUGGCAAAGGCUGCAGGACAGAACAGCCAACAAACAGAUUAGAAUCACAAUAUGUCAAACUGAGUCAUAGAUCCCAGACAAACAAUCGUUCUGUCUUAUAAAGGUGGAAACUACUUUGGUGUCACAGGAGGACUGACACCGUAGCUCCAUAUGUGUGUAACAGCCAGGGUCUAACCAGGUACUGCAGCCUAUGGUGACCGUGGCCCCCUGAGGGACAGUCACAGGUGUGGGUGGUUGGCCUGAAGCUUGCUGCUCCAGGUGGACGCAGCCACACUGCUCUGCAGGAACACAGCUACCAUUCUGCUGCAGCAGGCCCUGGAAGGGAAAACAAGAGCUGAUGCAGUAAUAGUUUUAUAUAUAUAUGCUAAAGACUCAGAUAUUUUCCUCAGGAGUUGGUGGAGUCCAUCAGAGAGGAAUAUGUGCAAUAAAUCAAAGCUGGAUGCUCCCAAACAACAUCAGAAAAUUGUCAUCAUCAUAACUCAUAUCAAGGAGUGCACUGUUGCCCCCUGGUGGCUGGGGAGAGAGCUACGCGGUAGCGCAGCUGCCUCUGAGACGCGCAGGAGCACUGAGACCAGACGCUCCACUCUGACAUGGGGCAGCCUGCAGAGGGAAACAAAAUCAACCAAUCUGCUGCUACGUGCACGCAGGUUCUAACAAGCACUUCAUGCUAUUUCUGAUGCACUUAGAAUCUGUGAAGCAGCACUUGGACUUGUGCUCACGUGACCCAGAGUUGAGUGUCCUGCUAAGUUAAUCAGCGUGUAACAGAUCUAUUUAUACACCAAACAUUAGGCCCUCCUCUUUACAAUCAGCAUAAAGCCGUCUCACUGGCAUCACUACUUAAGUACAGCUACAAUCUAAUUAGCAACCACUAUGAUCUGGUUCAAUAAUAUCAAAUCAUUUAGUGCAUUGAUCAAUUGCUCAAUUUAUCUGAGGCCAGAGCUGGAAAAUAUAUCUAUUUAUUGAUUUAUAGAAUAGCAAACUAAAAUAAAUGUACCCAUCACACUCUUCAAUACAGAUAUGAUAUCUAGCUCUGAUAAAUGGACUCAGAACAGUUACAACAUCCUUUUACAUCUUACCACAAUAUCAACUAAGCUUUCACUGAAUAAUCAGGAACAUUUUUACAUUAUUUAUAUUGUUAUAAAGGUAAAUAGAACGUAUUGAGAUAAUAGAUUUUAGUCAAUAUUGUCCCGCCUUAAAAAAUAAAUACAUGAUCUUGACUUGCAUAUCAACAUGUAAAUACAAUAAUAAUUCAUGAGAGUUGGCUGCCUUUUAAUGAAUGUCUCAUCGUACUGCCUUAACAGAAAAAGGCGCACAUACACAGUAAAUGUGUGCUCCCACAUACUGUAUAAGUAGAAUUAUGACCUCAGAUGUGCACCACUUCAUACAGGCAGGACAUGACAUCAGUUCUACGAGACAUUUAGACACUAGGACAGUUGCCACUUCCUCUAGAGGACUUUAUGAAAGCAAACUUAUCGGAUAUACUGACCUUAAAUACUGUAUCUCCUCGUGGACAAUGUGGUACGUUGAGUAACUCCUGUUUGUUCAUGUCUUGUAUUUCAUCGUUAACUUGUUUAUAGAACAGAGAUGGGUCCUCUCUUUGAACAGCUUCAUCACUACUUCAAAUGAUCUUAAAAUAGUUCACAUCAUCCGACUGACAGGACCUCAGAAUACAAUCACAGAAGUGAGCGUGGCGGCGUGUGCGGAGCUACGUCUGUACCUGCACAGGGCUGCUCGUAACACAGCUGGGUCUCCUCUCUGUUCCUCCCGGCCUCGAUCUCAGCGGGACACGCCGCGUCUCCUCCCUCCCCGCACACACACACCCUGCGCCGCGACACCGAACCAGCGCCGCAGCUCCGGGAACAUGGAGACCAUGCCAACCAGGGGCAAAGGUCAUCUGUAGACGAGAGAGUCAACAUGAUCGAUGACGUCAUCAUCAUUUACGUGGCUGUGAAUGUGUGAAUCGAUUUGGCGUUUCUGAACGAACCCAGACAGGGAGGAGUGAGACAGUCCUGGGUCUCUCUGUCCGGCCCGCUGCAGUGAGACCCGUUGUUACGUGGAGGGGGGUUGAUGCAGGCACGGGUUCCAACCUGUGUACCCCGUCCACAGGUCACUGAGCAGUCGGACCACACUGACCAAGGGGUCCAACCACCAUCCACUGGACACAACACACAGGCUUUGGUCAUUGGACAUGUAUCUUUAAAGGAAACUUGGCGGCAUGACAGUCAACUUGUUUGGUCCCCUGUCACAGGUCAGAGGUAAAUGUGUAUAUUCUCUUUCAUUAGAAGUAAGCUAGUAAUGUCAGCUGAGUAUAUAUCGUCUGCUCAAGCACAUUUACUCUUAGUCUUUGCAGUGACCCACCUCUGCAGUCAAUGUCUUGGCAGUAAUCUCCCUCCGGGGUGCAUGUGCUGGGAGUCAAAAAACACAAAGCAGAACUCUUAGAAUUCUAUUUUCUUUAUUUACGCUGCAAAACCAUGUCAUCAGCCAAAUGUGUGCAUCCAUCUUACCAUUGUUUACACUCGCCCUGCAGCCAGGUGUCACCCACCUCCAGCUCCUGGUCAUCAUGCAGACAGAGAGGUGGGCAGGGUCCCGGGUCGCAGGUUUUAUGCUGGACUUCCUCAAACUGGCAAUCUGCUCCUUCGGUGUCCGGGACCAGAGACCUGACACACAGCAGUGUGCUUCUGCUUUACUCUACUGCUUACUUGUUAUUUCAAAGAAACACAUUUCCCUGAGAGGGUGGGGAUUUCAAUCACUAAACAGGCAUUUGGGAUUUUCUUUCCCCUCACCUGUAUCUGGUUCUCUGGCCCUGCCCACAGGAGACGCUGCACAGCGCCCAGCUGGACCAGGAGCUCCAAAUGCAGGUGGUCUGGCAGAUGUGGUUGGUGCACAGGAGCUGUCCGUCUGAGCAGCUGCAGUUGUUACAGUCCGCCUGAUGCGAACUGCCGGCCGCCCAAAUGUGUCCCAUUCUUCCCUCCGUUCUUAGGCGGAGGGCUGGAGCAGGAGCGAGUGCGUAUGGAGCGCCCGCCGCCACAGCGCUUAUCACAGCGAGACCAGGGACUCCAGCGAGACCAACCUCCAUCCACUACAUCGUCCACACACACACACACACACACACACACACACACACGGACACAAGCACAAAGAACACCAGUGUGUUUUCACGUUUCACACUACAUGAUCAUUCCACUUUAUCACAACUUGGCUGUUAUUUUAACAUUCGCCAUCAUUUCUAUUGGUUUGAUAACAAUGUACAGUGAGUGGUCACUAUGGGCCCAUAGUGGUAUCUCAAUCUGCUCUUUCCUAUUCAUUCCAUGUGAAUACAAACAUCAUGUCUGCUUAAACUAAAAAGUUGUUAUUUUGUGGCAAAGCAGUCUCAGGUGCAGACGGAUUCUACAAUAAAGUAAAUCAUGUAAUCAAGUAAAUUAUCACGGACAUGAAACGGUGAAGCGUGACAAUCCCUAAACUGUUUAUGCUCACGACAGGACGCACAGGCGUGAAUGUGAAUUAUCUGAACUACAUGAUCAACAGCAGGCUGACCUCGGCAGGGCUUGAUGUUACAGAAGCGAUUCUCCAGGUUUCCUCCCAGAAUGUCCUCGCACCAUGAGCCGUUGGUCCGGGGGCUGAGGAAGGUGCGGAUCCUCUGCUGCUGACCCACUCCGCAGGACCGCGAGCAGGAGCUCCACUCCCCCCACUCCUUCCACAAGCAGUUCCUCCUCGCGCAGUCUGCCCCGACACAAUCCUCGUCUCCAUCUACAGAAGACACAAGACUGCUCGAUGUAGUCGUUGAAUAUCCCGAUAGCUAAUUCAUUGUGCUGUAAAUGCUGGUGUUUGAUCUUGUUUUUCUAUUCACCUGUAAUUGCAGUAAAUAUUCACACUAAUUUCACAAUAUUUAUUCAUUAAAGUGAAAACGUUACACGGAGCUCCUUCUAAACGUAGUCACAUGAUGAGCUGUUUAUUGAGUUGAGGCAUACGUUCUGAAUAAUGGCUUAACCAUGAGGAUUUUAUUCAUAACCGAUAUCAUCUCCUAACAGUCAGACAGGGUAUAAUACUGUUUUGGUUGAUGGUAUUCCCAU
Molecule: long non-coding RNA, 4635 nt
Organism: Anarrhichthys ocellatus (wolf-eel)
Lineage: Eukaryota; Metazoa; Chordata; Actinopteri; Perciformes; Anarhichadidae
Exons: 5
Source: RefSeq, a predicted model, not a curated record